GGGGAUGUUCCGGUUUCGACAGAUUGUAUGUUGGAUCCUGGCUGCAGUGGAGUGACGACCUAAUUGUCAAAUUAAAUUUAUUCGGCAAUAAUAACAAUUAUUGUUUCGCCUAAACAAGCGACGUUAGCUUAAGGCGUAAUUCUAUGGCCCAUGUUUGUAAGUCAUAGUCUCAAACACAAACUAGGUGAAGUAAGUUGCCUUCAUAAUCUUACAAGCCGAAAACCGAAAAGAGGAAUUCUCUGCUGGGUAGUUUAAGCCCUAAACAGAGUCUUAUCAAAAAUUAAACUAAACUGUAGACGCCUCGAUGGGGACUCUUUCUGGACAGGGGUUCGAUUCCCCUCAUCUCCACCA
Molecule: transfer-messenger RNA, 351 nt
Filed under: Erysipelotrichaceae
Lineage: Bacteria; Bacillati; Bacillota; Erysipelotrichia; Erysipelotrichales
Also listed under: 4 other names
Description: UBA636 sp002299675 Standard tmRNA
Rfam family: transfer-messenger RNA
About the family: Bacterial tmRNA, also known as 10Sa RNA or SsrA, is named for its dual tRNA and mRNA-like properties. Its role is to liberate the mRNA from a stalled ribosome.
Source: RNAcentral